This 263-nucleotide unclassified non-coding RNA is filed under the name plant metagenome. RNAcentral's name for it is "partial contains small subunit ribosomal RNA, internal transcribed spacer 1, and 5.8S ribosomal RNA". The record is from RNAcentral.
UUUCCGUAGGUGAACCUGCGGAAGGAUCAUUAUUGUAUAACCGAGGUGCGAGGGCUGUCGAUGACCCGAAAGGUCGUGCACGCCCGAGUGCCCUCACACACAUCCAUCUCGCCCCGAUGUCCACCACCGCGUGGGUCCCCCUUUGGCUUGUUCGGAGGGGGGCUUACGUUUUCACACAAACUUUGUAUGCAGUGUAGAAUGUAGUUUUUGUUUUUGCGAUCACGCAAUCAAUACAACUUUCAACAACGGAUCUCUUGGCUCUC